Molecule: long non-coding RNA, 1114 nt
Filed under: Olea europaea subsp. europaea
Lineage: Eukaryota; Viridiplantae; Streptophyta; Magnoliopsida; Lamiales; Oleaceae
Source: RNAcentral
CUCCACCAAUAGUUUCUACUCUAGCUCUUGUAAGUUCUCCACCAACAGCUUCUACCUCAUUUCCAGUCUCCACCAUCUCCAGCUCCCAAGGUGGCAACACCACCAGCUCCGACUUUAGCAGUCCUGAUUGAGACCCUAGCUAACGCUUCGGCUCAUCGCAAGAAAAAUAACCAAGAAGCACACUUCACCUUCUCCUGCUCCGAUUUCGAAGCUGAUGAGCCCACCCGCACCUCCAACUAAAGCCCCCGAAACUAGCACUGAUUCCAUCUUCCCAAGUCCUACAUCACUUAAUGAUGAGGUAUAUUUCUAAAUUCUAAUUCCUCCCCUAAUUUUAGUUUUGGCCGUGAUUUAGCCAAGUGGGUGGGGUAGGAUGGGGUGGUGUGAGAAAGAUAACCUUGUGUUUGAUUUUUUGUUUUUAUUUAACUACUCUUUCCUUAUUAUAAUUAAUUGUAUUUUUAGUGAAAGUUGCAAAGUUAUAAUUUUGACCUUAUUACAUUUGAUCAAAUUUUACUAUUGUGGUCAACUAACUGUCAAAUGAACGGUUUCCAUCCAUAUGGAUCUCGGAUGCAUAUUUUUGAAAUGUUUGAUAUUGUAGGUGACAUCAAAAUGAAGGUGAGGAUAAAGUCUGAAAAAACGUGAAAGACUGUAAUUGUGACUGAUGCUCACUCGAAGGCAACUUUCCUUAUUCGAUUAGAACUCUUUUGGAAACUAAUUUGGACGUGAUUUUCAACCAAUUUUCUACCCCACAAAUACCUAACAACGAAAUACAUAUUAGAUAGCUCUUUUACAUAUUCAUACACAUAAUAUAUCCAAAUUCCAUCAAUUCCUAUACCAAAUGAGAGGCAAAUUCAUAAUAUUGUGAGAUACAAUCAAUGGAAAGUACAAGAACUAAAUCAAUUGAAUAAUUCAUCUGAUUUUUGGGCAAAGAAUUGAAGAAAUAAUUGAAGAUUCGUCAAGAUUUCCUUGAAGAGAUUAAAGAACAAUAUUCUUCUUCUUUAUUCAUCAAAUUCAUAUUUCGGGUGAGGUUCUAUAGAAUUAAGAUGUUUUCUUGUACUUUUCCUAUACUAAACUGAAUUUAUCAUUGUUAUGAUGUAGAUGAGCCAUUGUUAUGACG